This 77-nucleotide transfer RNA is filed under the name Aquisalimonas asiatica. Its description in RNAcentral is "tRNA_Pro_TGG". It matches the Rfam family "tRNA". Rfam says of the family: Transfer RNA (tRNA) molecules are approximately 80 nucleotides in length. Their secondary structure includes four short double-helical elements and three loops (D, anti-codon, and T loops). Further hydrogen bonds mediate the characteristic L-shaped molecular structure. tRNAs have two regions of fundamental functional importance: the anti-codon, which is responsible for specific mRNA codon recognition, and the 3' end, to which the tRNAs corresponding amino acid is attached (by aminoacyl-tRNA synthetases). tRNAs cope with the degeneracy of the genetic code in two manners: having more than one tRNA (with a specific anti-codon) for a particular amino acid; and 'wobble' base-pairing, i.e. permitting non-standard base-pairing at the 3rd anti-codon position. The record is from RNAcentral. Lineage: Bacteria; Pseudomonadati; Pseudomonadota; Gammaproteobacteria; Chromatiales; Ectothiorhodospiraceae. RNAcentral also lists the same sequence under 3 other names.
CGGGGUGUGGCGCAGCCUGGUAGCGCGCCUGCUUUGGGAGCAGGAAGUCGGGGGUUCGAAUCCCUCCACCCCGACCA